CCACGCAGUCUUGUUUAUUUGUCCGGCUGUGUUAGGGUCGACAGACAUUCAGCUGAACCCCGCCUUCGGGCGGGGUUUUGCUUUUUU
RNAcentral lists this small RNA (87 nucleotides) under Ectopseudomonas alcaliphila. RNAcentral's name for it is "Pseudomonas alcaliphila Pseudomonas rnk leader". The record is from RNAcentral. Lineage: Bacteria; Pseudomonadati; Pseudomonadota; Gammaproteobacteria; Pseudomonadales; Pseudomonadaceae.